AACGAACGCUGGCGGCAUGCCUAACACAUGCAAGUCGAACGAGACCUUCGGGUCUAGUGGCGCACGGGUGCGUAACGCGUGGGAACCUGCCCUUAGGUUCGGAAUAACUCCCCGAAAGGGGUGCUAAUACCGGAUAAUGUCUUCGGACCAAAGAUUUAUCGCCUUUGGAUGGGCCCGCGUUGGAUUAGCUAGUUGGUAGGGUAAAAGCCUACCAAGGCGACGAUCCAUAGCUGGUCUGAGAGGAGGAUCAGCCACACCGGGACUGAGACACGGCCCAGACUCCUACGGGAGGCAGCAGUGGGGAAUAUUGGACAAUGGGCGAAAGCCUGAUCCAGCAAUGCCGCGUGAGUGAUGAAGGCCUUAGGGUUGUAAAGCUCUUUUACCCGGGAUGAUAAUGACAGUACCGGGAGAAUAAGCUCCGGCUAACUCCGUG
This 433-nucleotide ribosomal RNA is filed under the name uncultured bacterium. Its description in RNAcentral is "partial 16S ribosomal RNA". It matches the Rfam family "Bacterial small subunit ribosomal RNA", at positions 29 to 507 of the family's 1533-position model. The record is from RNAcentral.